AACGUAGGAGACAAACGUUAUCCGGAGUUACUGGGCGUAAAGGGCGUGUAGGCGGUUAGUUAAGUCUGGCGUGAAAGCUCUCGGCUAAACCGGGAGAGGUCGUUGGAUACUGGCAAACUAGAGGACGGUAGAGGCGUGUGGAAUUCCGGGUGUAGUGGUGAAACGCGUAGAGAUCCGGAGGAACACCAGUGGCGAAGGCGACACGCUGGGCCGUACCUGACGCUAAAGCGCGACAGCAUGGGGAGCAAACGGG
RNAcentral lists this ribosomal RNA (253 nucleotides) under uncultured bacterium. RNAcentral describes it as "partial 16S ribosomal RNA". It matches the Rfam family "Bacterial small subunit ribosomal RNA", at positions 524 to 776 of the family's 1533-position model. The record is from RNAcentral.